RNAcentral lists this ribosomal RNA (484 nucleotides) under uncultured bacterium. Its description in RNAcentral is "bacterial SSU rRNA". It matches the Rfam family "Bacterial small subunit ribosomal RNA", at positions 30 to 507 of the family's 1533-position model. The record is from RNAcentral.
AUUGAACGCUGGCGGAAUGCUUUACACAUGCAAGUCGAACGGCAGCACGGGGGCAACCCUGGUGGCGAGUGGCGAACGGGUGAGUAAUACAUCGGAACGUGCCCAGUCGUGGGGGAUAACGUAGCGAAAGUUACGCUAAUACCGCAUACGAUCUACGGAUGAAAGCGGGGGAUCGCAAGACCUCGCGCGAUUGGAGCGGCCGAUGUCAGAUUAGGUUGUUGGUGGGGUAAAGGCCUACCAAGCCGACGAUCUGUAGCUGGUCUGAGAGGACGACCAGCCACACUGGGACUGAGACACGGCCCAGACUCCUACGGGAGGCAGCAGUGGGGAAUUUUGGACAAUGGGCGCAAGCCUGAUCCAGCCAUUCCGCGUGCAGGACGAAGGCCUUCGGGUUGUAAACUGCUUUUGUACGGAACGAAAAAGCCUCGGUUAAUACCCGGGGUCCAUGACGGUACCGUAAGAAUAAGCACCGGCUAACUACGUG